This is a non-coding RNA of Pelobates cultripes (western spadefoot toad), 228 nucleotides long. NCBI's taxonomy places the organism in Eukaryota, Metazoa, Chordata, Amphibia, Anura, Pelobatidae. The record is from the annotation of a GenBank genome assembly.
CCUGUUCCCAAACCACCUAUGACGCAAAGUUUCUCAGACUCUGAGGAUUCACAUAAUGGAUAUGACCAUGAAGGGGCCUCACACAAACGUCCAUGGAAGGGCAACAGUGCCUCAGCCGGUAAAGGCAAGGCACCGGCUAAAAAUCCGGGGUUGACAAAUCCCCCACUGAUGCACUACAUGUGAAUAUUCCUUACGUCAAGGAGUCUUUUGUUAAUCAGCCUCUGGUUU